GGGAACGAAGAGAACACAGGUAACACGACUCAGGUACAAACCACAAUGACAGCCCCAGGAACAAAGGAAAGACAAGGGCUUAAGUAGCAAACACAAGACACGCAACGAAGAACAGCUGAGACACAUUAGGGGAGGGACCAGUAAUCAACACAGGAGGGAAACACAGGGAAACACACCAAAACACGACACAGACCAUGACAGUACCCCCCCCUUAAGGGUCGACUCCCAGGCGACCCACGACAAGCCAAAAAAAAGAAAACACGAAGAAAGUCAAACCCAAAUAGGAGGGGAGGGGAGCCAGGAGGAGGGAAUCAAAAAAAAAGAAAAUGGACUGGGGCAGAGCGGAGGGGUGUCAGGCGGGCGGCCAGAAAACUGCCCCAGGGCAUGGCAGGGAGCCUCAGGCGGACGGCCUGGGGGGCAAGCAGAGGCAGAGUGAAGGCGGAACCCUUCAGGAGGCCGGCGGCAAGGACGAUGAGGGCUCAGUCCCUCAGGAGGCCUGCAGCGGCAAAGAAACCCCUCUGAAGGCCGGCAGCGGCGAAGGCGGAACCCUUCAGGAGGCCGGCGAAGGCGAGGUAGAGGGCGGGUCCCCUCAGGAGGAAGGCGAGGUAGAGGGCGGGUCCCCUCUGGAGGAAGGCGAGGUAGAGGGCGGGUCCCCUCUGGAGGAAGGGCAGUUAGAGGGCGGGUCCCCUCUGGAGGAAGGCCAGGUAGAGGGCGGGUCCCCUAUGGAGGAAGGCGAGGUAGAGGGCGGGUCCCCUCUGGAGGAAGUCCAGGUAGAGGGCGGACCCCCUCUGGAAGGCGGGACCCCUCAGGAAGGCAAGGUAGAGGGCUGGUCCCCACUGGAGGAAGGCGAGGUAGAGGGCGGGUCCCCUCUGCAGGAAGGCAAGGUAGAGGGCGUGUCCCCUCUGGAGGAAGAGGGCGUGCCCCUUCCGAAAGGUUUGGAAGACGGGACCCCACUGGAAGGCCUUGAAGAGGGACCCCCCUCGGGGAGGAGUGGAGGGAAGGCCCCCACAGGCAGGAGCGGAGGGCGUGCCCCCUCAGGCAGGAGCGCAGGGCGGACCUCCUCAGGCAGGAGCGCAGGGCGGACCUCAGGCAGGAGCGCAGGGCGGACCUCCUCAGGCAGGAGCGCAGGGCGGAACUCUUCAGGCAGGAGCGCAGGGCGGAACUCCACAGGCA
Molecule: long non-coding RNA, 1173 nt
Filed under: Gadus morhua (Atlantic cod)
Lineage: Eukaryota; Metazoa; Chordata; Actinopteri; Gadiformes; Gadidae
Description: lncRNA (ENSGMOG00000027265.1)
Source: RNAcentral